Molecule: unclassified non-coding RNA, 207 nt
Filed under: soil metagenome
Description: partial contains 5.8S ribosomal RNA, internal transcribed spacer 2, and large subunit ribosomal RNA
Source: RNAcentral
AACCAUAGAAACCUGCGGAGUACCUGCGGAAGGAUCAUUACCGAGUUUACAACUCCCAAACCCCUGUGAACAUACCUAUACGUUGCCUCGGCGGAUCAGCCCGCGCCCUGUAAAACGGGACGGCCCGCCCGAGGACCCUAAACUCUGUUUUUAGUGGAACUUCUGAGUAAAACAAACAAAUAAAUCAAAACUUUCAGCAAUGGAUCU